CUUGCGCAGAUUAGUAAAGCACUAAGAAUGUGAGAAGGGAAGGAUGCAAG
This 50-nucleotide small RNA is filed under the name Salix viminalis (osier). Lineage: Eukaryota; Viridiplantae; Streptophyta; Magnoliopsida; Malpighiales; Salicaceae. The record is from RNAcentral.